Molecule: long non-coding RNA, 2022 nt
Organism: Centrocercus urophasianus (Greater sage-grouse)
Lineage: Eukaryota; Metazoa; Chordata; Aves; Galliformes; Phasianidae
Exons: 2
Source: RefSeq, a predicted model, not a curated record
GCGGCCGGGAGGCGGCCCGGAGGCGGCCCGGAGGCACGGCGGGACUCGGGGACGGCGGCGCGGAGGUCGUGGGGAGUUGGAGCCAGGGUCUAACCAGAAAGCCAGUUCCUUUAGGGGCAGGAGAUUGUGCUGUGUAUACACCUCUGUUAACACAUGGUGAGCAGGUGGAUGUGGUGGACCGCCUGGAUUUUGUGCUGACAAACAUCUUGGAGCUGAGGAGGGAAGUAGAGGAACUACGGAACAGCCUGCAGAACCUUGCUGCAGAUAUUGUGGGUGAAGUCAGGUUAGCGUCUGCCCUUCUUGUUUUGUCAUCUUUUGUCUGCUGUUCUGUGUUUUGUGUUCUACAGCACAGGGAAACAUCUUGAACAGUUGGGUGUCUGUUAAAUGGAAAAAGUGGAAAAAAAUGUCUCUUUAGUUUCUACUGCUGUUAUAUCUUGGCAGUGAGAUUAUGUUGAAAUAAGACCAAGUGCUAGGUCCUGCUCUUUGGUCACAGCAACCUCAUACAUCACUACAGGCUUGGGACAGACAGAGUUGCUGACAAACUGCACGGAGGAAAAGGAUCUGAGGGUAUUAGUCAGCAGCUGGCUGACUAGUAGUGUACGUGGGUAGCUAAGAAGGCCAGUGGCAUCCUGGCUUGUAUCAGAAAUAGUGCAGCCAGCACGAGCAGGAGGUGAUGAUCCUUCUGCAGUCAGCUCUGGUGAGGCUGCAUCUUGAAUACUGUGUUCAGUUUUGGGUCCCUCAAUGCGAGGAAGACUUGGAUCGUAUCCAAAGAUGGGCAACAGAGCCGUGAGGGGACUGGAGCACAAGUCUGAUGGGGAGCAGCUGAGGGAACUGGGAUUGUUUGGCCUGGAGACAAGGAGGCUCAGGGGAGACCUCAUAGCUUUCUACAACUUCCUGCUGUAGAGGUUGUGGCAAGGUGGAGGUUGGCUUCUUCUCCUGGGUAUCAGCAACAGGACAAGAGAUGAUGGCCUUGAGUUAUGCCAAGGGAAGUUCAGGUUGGCUGUUAGGAAAAAUCUCAGAAAAAGUGGUUGGGCAUUAGAACAGGCUGCCUAGAGAAGCGAUAGCAUCACUCUGGGGGAUUUUCAAGAAAAGUAGAGGUGUGGCACUGAGUGGUAUAGUGGAGUUGGGUCCUUGGUUGGACAUGGUUAAGGACUUUAUCAAAUCCACUUAGCCAAAAACAGCCCCUUCUCUAGGAGAUAAAGCAAGUAUUGCUCAGGAGUAGGGCCAACCAGUAGGAGCAGACCAGCACACAUGUACAAGGCUACCCUGCUUGACCCGCUAUAGCUUCUACUGCGGUCUGGUUUUAGCAGUGCACAUAACCAAAAAGCUGUCAAACUCUUGUAGUCCUUUCACAGAUUUGUAGAUUCCCAUUCAGAGGAAUCAACAGGAUGGGAUGUUUUAAGAUACACUUUGCCAUUGUUUGUUUCUAGAAAGCAGCCUAGAGAUGUCCCACAGAACUAGCAUAUAAACACUGGACCUAUCAAAAGCAUGAUUUUGCUCUUUUCCUCUAACUGCUUACUAAGAUGCUUUCCACCCAUUUUUCCAUUUAAAAAAUAAAAAUAGAAAUCACUUACAGAGAAUUGGAAUGAGAAGCUCUCAGCAAUGGUGUAGAAACAGUAGAAUUAUAGUGUGGCAGCUUUGGCAAUGAAGGCAAUGAAGAACCUGUAUCUUCUCAAUAUCUGAAUGAGGAGAUGCUGACUUGGGAGAUUUCUUUUUACCAAAAGCUUGCUUGAAGGAGCUGUGUAACUGAAAAACAAGACCACAGCAGUAGACACACCAUGAAGAAUGCAUCCAUACAAAAAGCCACAGACUGAAACUCCAACAUGCAAAUAUUCCAAACAAUAAAGCCAUACUCACAGAUUUUAACAGAGCUAAAAGGGAAUCAAAAAGCUUAAAUUGAAUAACCAACUUCCUGUGUUUUCAGGUUUAAGGCUUGAUUUAAUUAAGGUUUAAUUUUCAAUCUUCGUUUUGCACCAAUGUAUUCACUUUUAACACAAUAAAAGCACUUUCCUGUCAUCUUCA